GCCGGUGUGGCCGAGCGGUUCUAGGCGCUUCAGUCUGAAACUCUGACGGUCGCAGGUUCGAAUCCUGCCUCGGGCA
Schistocerca cancellata (South American locust) is the source of this 76-nucleotide non-coding RNA. The record is from the annotation of a RefSeq genome assembly. Lineage: Eukaryota; Metazoa; Arthropoda; Insecta; Orthoptera; Acrididae.